UCUAUUUUGGCAGAUUAGUGCAAUAAAUUUAGAAUUUAUAUAUAUAGGUUAUCUAUAGAUAGAA
This 64-nucleotide transfer RNA is filed under the name Puliciphora borinquenensis. Its description in RNAcentral is "tRNA-Leu". It matches the Rfam family "tRNA". From Rfam's summary of the family: Transfer RNA (tRNA) molecules are approximately 80 nucleotides in length. Their secondary structure includes four short double-helical elements and three loops (D, anti-codon, and T loops). The record is from RNAcentral. Lineage: Eukaryota; Metazoa; Arthropoda; Insecta; Diptera; Phoridae.